Molecule: unclassified non-coding RNA, 170 nt
Filed under: Basidiomycota sp.
Lineage: Eukaryota; Fungi; Basidiomycota
Description: partial contains small subunit ribosomal RNA, internal transcribed spacer 1, and 5.8S ribosomal RNA
Rfam family: Eukaryotic small subunit ribosomal RNA (bases 1-47)
Source: RNAcentral
AAAGUCAUAACAAGGUUUCCGUAGGUGAACCUGCGGAAGGAUCAUUAGUGAAUUGGCCUCUGGCCUUGGACGCAUACACUGUGAACCGUGGCUUCGGCCCAAACUUUCAUGUGUCGGAUGUACGAUGUCAUAACAAAACACAACUUUCAACAACGGAUCUCUUGGCUCUC